Molecule: ribosomal RNA, 403 nt
Filed under: uncultured bacterium
Lineage: Bacteria
Description: bacterial SSU rRNA
Rfam family: Bacterial small subunit ribosomal RNA
Source: RNAcentral
UGAGGGAUAUUGGGCAAUGGGGGCAACCCUGACCCAGCGACGCCGCGUGAGGGAAGACGGUCUUCGGAUUGUAAACCUCUGUCUUUGGGGACGAAAAAGGACGGUACCCAAGGAGGAAGCUCCGGCUAACUACGUGCCAGCAGCCGCGGUAAUACGUAGGGAGCGAGCGUUGUCCGGAAUUACUGGGUGUAAAGGGAGCGUAGGCGGGAAGGCAAGUUGGAUGUGAAAACUGUGGGCUCAACCUACAGACUGCAUUCAAAACUGUUUUUCUUGAGUGAAGUAGAGGCAAGCGGAAUUCCUAGUGUAGCGGUGAAAUGCGUAGAUAUUAGGAGGAACACCAGUGGCGAAGGCGGCUUGCUGGGCUUUUACUGACGCUGAGGCUCGAAAGUGUGGGGAGCAAACA